Molecule: long non-coding RNA, 259 nt
Filed under: Zonotrichia albicollis (white-throated sparrow)
Lineage: Eukaryota; Metazoa; Chordata; Aves; Passeriformes; Passerellidae
Description: lncRNA (ENSZALG00000001794.1)
Source: RNAcentral
GGAGCUGCCCGGGCUCUGCCUGUGCUGGGCUGUGUGUGACACUGUCCUGGGCAGUGUGUGACACCGUCCUGGGCUGUGUGUGACACACUGUGCAGUGUGUGACACCAUCCUGGGCUGUGUGUGACACACUGUGCAGUGUGUGACACCGUCCUGUCCUGGGCUGUGUGUGACACCCUGUGCAGUGUGUGACACCCUGUGCAGUGUGUGACACCGUCCUGGGCUGUGUGUGACACUGUCCUGGGCUGUGUGUGACACUGUC